Molecule: long non-coding RNA, 466 nt
Organism: Carlito syrichta (Philippine tarsier)
Lineage: Eukaryota; Metazoa; Chordata; Mammalia; Primates; Tarsiidae
Exons: 2
Source: RefSeq, a predicted model, not a curated record
AAUAAACCUUUUCUUAGCUUUCAGGAUCUCCUAAGCUGAAAGGGACCCAUUUAAUCCUUUGAGCGGUUAAGAAUAAUUUUAAUAUGGCUGGCUUCCAGGAUGAUGUUUUUAGAGCUUUCUUCCAUCCCGAAACUCUCAUGCCCAAGAUUCCACACUUUCUCAUCUAUGAGACACCCAGAGUUCUCAUCUGCCUCUACCCAGCUAUUUAUCUUUCCUUCCCUUCAGAUGUCUUCUGUGCACUGUUGGCAAGCAGCACGACUUAGAGUGAACUCCAAGAAAUGCGUCACUUGCGUUGUGAUUCUGCCACAUACUAGACAUGUAACCUUGAGCAAGUCACCCGGUCCCCUGUGGUUGUCCAACUAUGUAAAAUCAUGACAAUGAUAUAAAAAAAUUCACUCUAAUAAUACCAGAUAGAUGAUUGGUUAUAUUACUGUUUAGAAACCUAUAAAGAGUCAUGAAAAUAUAA